CCUACGGGAGGCAGCAGUGAGGAAUAUUGGACAAUGGGCGCAAGCCUGAUCCAGCCAUGCCGCGUGCAGGAUGACGGUCCUAUGGAUUGUAAACUGCUUUUGCACAGGAAGAAACAACAUUACGUGUAAUGUCUUGACGGUACUGUGAGAAUAAGGAUCGGCUAACUCCGUGCCAGCAGCCGCGGUAAUACGGAGGAUCCAAGCGUUAUCCGGAAUCAUUGGGUUUAAAGGGUCCGUAGGCGGUUUAGUAAGUCAGUGGUGAAAGCCCAUCGCUCAACGGUGGAACGGCCAUUGAUACUGCUAGACUUGAAUUAUUAGGAAAGUAACUAGAAUAUGUAGUGUAGCGGUGAAAUGCUUAGAGAUUACAUGGAAUACCAAUUGCGAAAGGCAGGUUACUACUAAUUAGAUUGACGCUGAUGGACGAAAGCGUGGGUAGCGAACAGGAUUAGAUACCCUGGUAGUCCACGCCGUAAACGAUGGAUACUAGCUGUUGGAGCGAUCUCNGUGNGAGACGAAGAGAGAAGUAAUACCUAACCGUAGGGUAGGUUACGGUUCGUCGAAGAAAGUAAGAACGUUACGAAAGGAAAGUUAGGACGGACGUUGGAGACGAGACCGAACGGACGAACCGAACGAAGGGGAAGGAAGGAG
This 648-nucleotide ribosomal RNA is filed under the name uncultured bacterium. RNAcentral describes it as "bacterial SSU rRNA". The stretch from base 1 to 536 matches the Rfam family "Bacterial small subunit ribosomal RNA", at positions 338 to 873 of the family's 1533-position model. The record is from RNAcentral.